This 500-nucleotide ribosomal RNA is filed under the name uncultured bacterium. Its description in RNAcentral is "partial 16S ribosomal RNA". It matches the Rfam family "Bacterial small subunit ribosomal RNA", at positions 32 to 507 of the family's 1533-position model. The record is from RNAcentral.
AAUCAACGCUGGCGGCGUGCCUAACACAUGCAAGUCGAACGCGAAAGCCCCGCAAGGGGUAAGUAGAGUGGCAAACGGGUGAGUAACACGUGGGUGACCUGCCUUCGAGUGGGGGAUAACGUCCCGAAAGGGACGCUAAUACCGCAUGACAUCCUGCUUUUGAAAAAGCGGAGAUCAAAGCUGGGGAUCGCAAGACCUAGCGCUUGAAGAGGGGCCCGCGCCUGAUUAGCUAGUUGGUGAGGUAACGGCUCACCAAGGCGACGAUCAGUAUCCGGCCUGAGAGAGCGGACGGACACACUGGGACUGAGACACGGCCCAGACUCCUACGGGAGGCAGCAGUGGGGAAUUGUUCGCAAUGGGCGCAAGCCUGACGACGCAACGCCGCGUGGAGGACGAAGAUCUUCGGGUCGUAAACUCCUGUCGAGCGGGACGAACGCUUCGCGGAUGAAUAAUCCGCGGAAUUGACGGUACCGCUAAAGGAAGCCCCGGCUAACUCCGUG